This 721-nucleotide ribosomal RNA is filed under the name uncultured bacterium. RNAcentral's name for it is "bacterial SSU rRNA". It matches the Rfam family "Bacterial small subunit ribosomal RNA", at positions 335 to 1064 of the family's 1533-position model. The record is from RNAcentral.
ACUCCUACGGGUGGCUGCAGUGGGGAAUAUUGCACAAUGGGCGCAAGCCUGAUGCAGCGACGCCGCGUGGGGGAUGAAGGCCUUCGGGUUGUAAACUCCUUUCGCUAGGGACGAAGCUUUUUUGUGACGGUACCUAGAUAAGAAGCACCGGCUAACUACGUGCCAGCAGCCGCGGUAAUACGUAGGGUGCGAGCGUUGUCCGGAAUUACUGGGCGUAAAGGGCUCGUAGGUGGUUUGUCGCGUCGUCUGUGAAAUUCUGGGGCUUAACUCCGGGCGUGCAGGCGAUACGGGCAUAACUUGAGUGCUGUAGGGGUAACUGGAAUUCCUGGUGUAGCGGUGAAAUGCGCAGAUAUCAGGAGGAACACCGAUGGCGAAGGCAGGUUACUGGGCAGUUACUGACGCUGAGGAGCGAAAGCAUGGGUAGCGAACAGGAUUAGAUACCCUGGUAGUCCAUGCCGUAAACGGUGGGCGCUAGGUGUGAGGGUCUUUCUACGACUUUCGUGCCGUAGCUAACGCAUUAAGCGCCCCGCCUGGGGAGUACGGCCGCAAGGCUAAAACUCAAAGGAAUUGACGGGGGCCCGCACAAGCGGCGGAGCAUGUGGGUUAAUUCGAUGCAACGCGAAAAACCUUACCUGGGCUUGACAUACACUAGAUCGCUGCAGAGAUGUAGUUUCCCUUUGUGGUUGGUGUACAGGUGAUGCAUGGCUGUCGUCAGCUCGUG